AUGAAGGCCACCGUGCUGCGCGGCGGCCUCGCUACCGGCGUGACCGUUCACCACGCCGCCUGCGACGGGGUGUCGUCGACGCACUUCCAACGCACCUGGGUCUGGUCGGCGGCAGCCUGCAGCGGUGCGGGCGCGCCUGAGCCGCCCUUUGUCGACCGCUCCAUCAUCUGCCCACGAGACACCUGUACGACGCUUUCAUGGCGCCCAGGCUGUCCAGUAAUGACGAUGACGGUGGGAAACCCCCCGAUUCGCCCAUUGUCCAGCAGCUCCUCGCCACGUUCACGCUGUCCAUGGAGUACCUGCAGAGCAUCAAAGAAGCGGUCGCCAGCAAGGAGGAACGCCUUGGCGUGCUGCCGCCUUGCGCCACAUCAAUCAUCGCGGCGUUCGGCUUCAUCUGGCAAUUGCUACAUCCGAGCUAAACCAGGCACUGAUGGCAAGGUAGCGUCGUCUUGCGGUGGCCGUGCCUACUUUGUCUUACCGGCAGACCACCGGACGAGGCUGGAGCCGCCCGUCCCCGAUGAGUACCUCGGCAACUGCCUCGGUCCGUGCAUCGCGUCAGCGCCCAGGAUGGAUGUCGCUGCCGCCGGCGUGGACGGUCUGUUCACCGCAUGCGCGGCGAUCGUUACGGCCAUUGGCGGAGUGGUGCGCGGCAGUCCCGGAUACUGGGACCGGUGGAUGGAGCGGAUCAGUGGGUGUACAGCACGUGCGACGACUUGUCGCUAA
This 723-nucleotide ribosomal RNA is filed under the name Triticum aestivum (bread wheat). Its description in RNAcentral is "partial small subunit ribosomal RNA". The record is from RNAcentral. Lineage: Eukaryota; Viridiplantae; Streptophyta; Magnoliopsida; Poales; Poaceae.